UGUGUGUGUUGAGCUGCAGUCAAUGUGUCUGGGGUAACACACACUGGACUGUGUUUGUAAUUGUGCUAACACGCUGAGAGGAAGAGCUGCUCCGAACACCUCGUUCUCUGGAUAAAGAUGAGCGGCGGUCUGUCAGAGACACCUGCGGGGGGCCUGUCACCCAAAACUGUGCUGCACAGAGAGAUUUAGAAAUGGGAAACACCUGUGACCGAACGAGGCCGUGACCAAUGGAUUAAUAUGGAUUACUUCAAUAAAUCCUUCAAGAGUCAAUGUUUUGGUGUAAUGGACAUCUGAUGGAGAGCCAGAAGUGUCUUCAUCCGAGCGGAUCUCAAGGUUGUGUUGCAGGUCUGGGCUGUUGCAGGUUUGUUUCGGUGCAGUUACCUCACUGUCAAGCCAGAACACAUCAGGGUUUGUGGGAACUAGUCAAACAUCCCACGACAAAGCCCACAAACACAGACUGAACAUGUUCAGUGGCUGAAAACAAACAGCAUCAGGGUUGAAGUGUGAAGGAGGCUGGCGUGUUUUCCCCGUCGGGGUGAAGGUUAUUGAAAUAAAUACUCAGCUCUGUAUCUGAAUGCUGCAGUGUUUAAAGAUGGUGUCAAACAAAUGUCCUCCUCUCCAGAUGAGUUUAUCAAAGCCGUCUCGCUGGAGGACACUGUGAUUAAAAACACUGGUGUCCUCAGCAGGCCCACCCGCUUCAAAACCCAGCGCUGCCUUUUCACAUGAACGCCAAGAAGAGAGGUUUUCAUCUUCCCUCAGUGAUAUUUGAGGCUUAUUUUCUGUGUGGUAGCACAAUCUUGUGAAGUGUUUGUGAACGCCGCACAUCCAGUGAUGUAUUACGGCUCAGGCUUGUAGAACUCAGAUUACAGAUUCAAUUUCACAUGUUGGAUGAAAUAAAUAUUUAAAAACUUUUGUAAGUGGGUCGUUACUCACUAGCCAAGUUUCCAAAAUGAA
Carassius auratus (goldfish) is the source of this 954-nucleotide long non-coding RNA. RefSeq lists it as uncharacterized. The transcript has 3 exons. The record is from RefSeq and is a predicted model, not a curated record. Lineage: Eukaryota; Metazoa; Chordata; Actinopteri; Cypriniformes; Cyprinidae.